AGAAUCAACGCUGGCGGCGUGCCUAACACAUGCAAGUCGAACGAGAAAGUGGAGCAAUCCAUGAGUAAAGUGGCGACCGGGUGAGUAACACGUGACUAACCUACCUUCGAGUGGGGGAUAACCUCGGGAAACCGAGGCUAAUACCGCAUAACAUCGCAAGAUCAAAGCAGCAAUGCGCUGGAAGAGGGGGUCGCGGCUGAUUAGCUAGUUGGCGGGGUAAUGGCCCACCAAGGCGAAGAUCGGUAGCCGGCCUGAGAGGGCGCACGGUCACACUGGAACUGAAACACGGUCCAGACUCCUACGGGAGGCAGCAGUGGGGAAUUUUGCGCAAUGGGGGAAACCCUGACGCAGCAACGCCGCGUGGAGGAUGAAGCCCCUUGGGGUGUAAACUCCUUUCGACCAAGACGAUAAUGACGGUACUGGUGGAAGAAGCACCGGCUAACUCUGUGCCAGCAGCCGC
Molecule: ribosomal RNA, 460 nt
Filed under: uncultured bacterium
Lineage: Bacteria
Description: SSU rRNA
Rfam family: Bacterial small subunit ribosomal RNA
Source: RNAcentral